CCUACGGGGGGCAGCAGUGGGGAAUAUUGGACAAUGGGGGCAACCCUGAUCCAGCCAUGCCGCGUGUGUGAAGAAGGCCCUCGGGUUGUAAAGCACUUUCAGUGAGGAAGAACGCCUGGUGGUUAAUACCCAUCAGGAAAGACAUCACGCACAGAAGAAGCACCGGCUAACUCCGUGCCAGCAGCCGCGGUAAUACGGAGGGUGCGAGCGUUAAUCGGAAUUACUGGGCGUAAAGCGCGCGUAGGUGGCUUGAUAAGCCGGUUGUGAAAGCCCCGGGCUCAACCUGGGAACGGCAUCCGGAACUGUCAAGCUAGAGUGCAGGAGAGGAAGGUAGAAUUCCCGGUGUAGCGGUGAAAUGCGUAGAGAUCGGGAGGAAUACCAGUGGCGAAGGCGGCCUUCUGGACUGACACUGACACUGAGGUGCGAAAGCGUGGGUAGCAAACAGGAUUAGAUACCCUUGUAGUC
Molecule: ribosomal RNA, 465 nt
Filed under: Vreelandella stevensii
Lineage: Bacteria; Pseudomonadati; Pseudomonadota; Gammaproteobacteria; Oceanospirillales; Halomonadaceae
Description: partial 16S ribosomal RNA
Rfam family: Bacterial small subunit ribosomal RNA
Source: RNAcentral